This 257-nucleotide ribosomal RNA is filed under the name uncultured Pseudomonas sp. RNAcentral's name for it is "partial 16S ribosomal RNA". It matches the Rfam family "Bacterial small subunit ribosomal RNA", at positions 96 to 355 of the family's 1533-position model. Lineage: Bacteria; Pseudomonadati; Pseudomonadota; Gammaproteobacteria; Pseudomonadales; Pseudomonadaceae. The record is from RNAcentral.
CGGCGGACGGGUGAGUAAUGCCUAGGAAUCUGCCUGGUAGUGGGGGACAACGUUUCGAAAGGAACGCUAAUACCGCAUACGUCCUACGGGAGAAAGCAGGGGACCUUCGGGCCUUGCGCUAUCAGAUGAGCCUAGGUCGGACUAGCUAGUUGGUGAGGUAAUGGCUCACCAAGGCGACGAUCCGUAACUGGUCUGAGAGGAUGAUCAGUCACACUGGAACUGAGACGCGGUCCAGACUCCUACGGGAGGCAGCAGCC